UUCAAUGAUAAAUCAUCUACAAGUUUUGUUAUGUCAUGGACAUCUGUCUUCAGACCAUACAAUCCAAAUAAGUUGUUCCCCGCAGCAGCAGAAUUGAAGUUCGCCAAACUGGCCUUCACAGAGAAGGAAUCAUAUUUAACCUUUGUGGAAACUUUGAAAUUUCUCCUAUCCCCUCGUUUGCUGCCGCAGUUGUUCUUUUGUCUUGACGAAUGAGCUUUCUCUUGAGAGUCACAUUUUGUCGGAUGUGAUCCCAGCUUAUCAGACGGAACCUUCGUGUCAUCAACUGCAGCUGGACCUGUAGUAUCUUCUGAUAGAGCUAUCCAUGGUCUUUUAUGACAUCCACUACCACUUCUUGACAUUUGUCCUGAUUUUCGCUGUACCUGCACUUCUUCAGGCCUUGGAACCCGUGAAGGCCCAUUGGCACCAUCACAACGGCGCUGUUUAGACACACCUUCACUCAGAAAGCUGGGCAGCUGGCUAGCAUGCCGACAAAGUUCAGAAUCUGGAGCCUUAUUCAAUGGUGUUGACUCCAAAAAAUUUGCUGUGCUUGUCACUUCUUUUUCACUACGCAAAGAGUUGCACAGCUCACGGCUCGAC
RNAcentral lists this unclassified non-coding RNA (597 nucleotides) under Hevea brasiliensis (rubber tree). The record is from RNAcentral. Lineage: Eukaryota; Viridiplantae; Streptophyta; Magnoliopsida; Malpighiales; Euphorbiaceae.